Dermacentor albipictus is the source of this 1967-nucleotide long non-coding RNA. RefSeq lists it as uncharacterized. NCBI's taxonomy places the organism in Eukaryota, Metazoa, Arthropoda, Arachnida, Ixodida, Ixodidae. The record is from RefSeq and is a predicted model, not a curated record.
GAUGGCCUUUGCAUUGCGGGUACAUUCGUUGUCCUCCGACGUUACAAUUCACCGCUGCAAGCCUUUUGUGCUUGCUCUCCUUCGGUGUCAGUCUUGAGGCUCCAAGGGAUCUCGUGCAAGCAUGUCUUCGAACAUACACUAGAAGGUGGCAAAUGCUGAACCGGUAUUUUGUAGCGACGCCUUUUCCGAUUCUAUGCCUUUUCAGGCUUUUCGCGCUUGGCCAGUGGUCAGAGCGACGGUCUGCCCACAUUAUCAACGGGAUCAGGCGGCCGUGUGUGGUGGAUGAUAAGAAUAGCAUAGAAUAAGGCAUAAGGCAUCACUACAAUAUAGCGGCCCUGCAUGGUCUCUAAAAUAAGAUAACUCAGAAAAGGCGUCUUGCGUUUAGCCGAAGAUACAAGCCUUAUCGGCCCAACGCAAGCAAAGUUCUCUACACCACCUUAUCGUUCCGCACAUGCGCUGUUAAUUUACAUGGCACUGGUUUUCCGUGCCAGUAUGCGAAGUAAAUGCUGUUGUGAGUAAACGCCUACGACGAAUCCUCUUGCUGAGUGCACUGUAAUGGCGACCACCUGUCGGCAAAAGACUAACCGCCGGCUGUUCCAAGACCGCGACUCGAAAAGCGCAAGAUCGAGCUCUGUGGACAGCGGCCUGUGGGCAAUUUACAACGAGGUUAGCGCAACCGCGGAUCAGUCAACGCGCGCUUCGACGUCGACCGCGAGCGAAGCGCCCAGUUUGUGUGAGCUACCCGCUCCGACGCCACCGCGACCAAGUCGUAGGUCGCUUCCCGCGCAACAAACGAAAUGCGCUUCUCAGCUGGCCAGGGAUCCCUCGAAAUCCCCGUCAACGCUCAAGAACAAGGUUAUCGACAUGUUCAAGCGCAAUAGUGGACGAGAGGAGGAGGAACUGGAGCUGUCGUCCACGUACGUGACAGGCGAUCUGUGGACACCUACCUGCCGAGCCCGGAGUGUUCAACAUCGGCCACUGCCAGAACGUUUUCCAGAUUUCUUCAGACGCUCCUUCAGACGAAAAUCCUACCGUGUACAGAAUCCUCGCUCACAUUUGCCGUAGACGUUACCGUGCUCAAAAGGCAAAAAAAAAAGUGUGCACUUCGCUUCCAAGCUCAAGCUUCUCAACAUUGUAACACUGUGUAUCGACUACAUAUUACUGGUGUCUAUAUUAGGCACUCAGAAGGCCACAUAAAAGUGGCCCUUUUCGAAGACGAUCGGUGUUCAAAACGUUUCGCUACUGAGUUGAGCUAAUGGCAAAAAAACAAAGCAAUUAAGACAGUUCAUUUUGCCUAGCACUCGAUAUUUGAAGGUAUGACCUACGCCUGCAGCUAAUAGCCCAGUUCCUAAAGCACAGCACCCACGUCUGUUAGCAUCACGGUGAAAUACUUACUCUGCGCAAAUGUACAUAUCUGUGUUUAUUUUUAUGCACGCCAGUCAGUCCGGUAUGUUUAAUACCCCUUGCUGACGAGUCUUACAAAAACCCACGGAUUGUGCCAGCGUGCAGCGCGCAUUUUUGAUUCCGCAAGCCACGCAUGACUGCGUUUAAUUGUUAGACCAUCGUUAUGUACAUUUGUAUUGUCACUUUUACAUGACAAUGUAAAGCGUGCUUACCUCAAUAAAACACACGAAAACUAUUACCAGUUCUCCUAUUUAUUGCAGCAGACUCAAUGCUCAUAUAGGAUUGCUCAUACAAGGAACUUGUGGUUGCGCAGAAGCUCAGCAAAAUAAUACAAUGCCACUCUGUAUCAGUUGCAUAUCCGCAGCUUGAACCCCGAAAAGCCUGAGUUGAUGAGUGCUGCAUUGAAUACAAAAUUAGGAAUCGGCGUAAAUACCUUGUUUUUCUUUUAUCUUUUGCGUUGCUUUCUUUAGUAUUCAUUCUUAUUAUGCGUGCCUUCUUUUUUUUUAAUCCAGCCACCAGUGGUAUCUAAUAAAGAGUUUUCCACCAGCGUGGUAAUCACCGUA